Molecule: long non-coding RNA, 11295 nt
Organism: Megalobrama amblycephala (Wuchang bream)
Lineage: Eukaryota; Metazoa; Chordata; Actinopteri; Cypriniformes; Xenocyprididae
Exons: 4
Source: RefSeq, a predicted model, not a curated record
UAUCCAGUAAAUCUGAUUAACAGAUUUACAUAUUCAUAAUUAAUCAUAAUUAAUAAAUCAUAUUGAGUUAUUAAUAAUUAUUAAUAGUUCCCCUUUGAGUUAAUUCGCUACAUCAUGGAGGGUGAUAUGCAUCUUGAGAGACGGUAUACAACCCACAUCGUCACUGUCAUAGGCAAAGGCCUCACAUUCUUUCCGCAACACUCUUCGUACUGCCUCCUGCUGUCCCUCUGAGAGAUGGCAGAGAUCGUCAGGGGGGUCCCAUGAGGUUGGUCUUCUCGCUCCCAUCCUGGCUGUGGUGUGCUACUUGCUUUGUUGGACUUUGUCUCUGUGCUUUCCUUCAUUUCAGCUGCUGUCACAUUUUCUUUCAUUUGCACAGGUGUUGUGUAUACGGUCUUCAUGGGUUCCAAGUGUCCAAUCACUCUAUGAUGGUCCAGACAGAUGGUGCGAUCAGUAGUGUUGGUCACGGAGAUGGGUAUGUAUGGCACUCUCCUUUCUGGGAUCUGCACCAGUACAUCAUUAAAGAUCACACCUUCUGGUGGAGGAUUAAGCAUGUCAGAUCAUGUCAGAUCAUGAAAAGAUCAUGUGUUGGCCCUGUGCACGUGUACUCACAUGUGCUCUUAUGUAGACAGUGGUGACUUGGUUAGCUGGUAAGGGCACUCUUUUGUUUUCACUGUUAUUGUGAAGGCUUUACUCACUUUGUGCGCCAACUGUUUUUUUCCACCUUUAGUCUCUCUCUCAUUUCUGUUAAUGAUGGCCUCAAUGAUGUUGUAACCAAUGAUAGGGUCACUGGCAACUGCUGGGUCGCUUGACACUAGCAUCAGCACUUGUAAAUCAUUAGUUGUACUGGGGUCACUGUUUAGUCUGAAACUGACUUCAAUCCAGCCGAUAUAUGGAAUGAGCAUGUCAUUAGCAGACUGUCAGUGUCUCAUCCUCCAACAACUCUGAGAUGGGUCUGACAACGGUGUGGGGGAGGUAAUUUAGUUGCCAGGGGUCAUUCACUAUGCUGGACUGUGCUCCCGUGUCCCACAGGACUCUAACUGGGCAAUUGUCCAUAACACAGUCCACUAUACACCUGCUUCCUACAAGGCCAACCAACUGUGGCUGGUGUCGAGGUGGUAUAUAGUUAACCACACUUACAGCUUAUGAGGCGCCAGCUGCUCUUUCUUCAAAGGCUAUUGUUGGUUGCAUGAUUGUGCUGGGUGGUGACUGCUCAUUUCGGGGCGCUCGGCUGUGGACUACUGCUGGCCCCACCUCAGUAGUCCCUUCCCGUUUCCCAGCUAGUUCUGCAUCCACGGGAGAAGUGGCCCUCCUGCCCACAUUUGAAACAGUGCAUACAUUUCUCACCUGUUCCCUCAUCUCUGCAGUUCUUGCAACCUUUUACUCUCUGCUUUUGUUCUGCUUUUUGCUGUACUGUUCAUCGGUGUCCUCAUUUGCUGCUUUCCAUAACAGUUUCUCUUUGAGCUCAAUUGCACGGAAUACAAAGUUCAGGGCAGUCUCUUUGGGCUCUUGCGAGAUGUUAAGGAGUUGAUGGUACAGUUCUGUGGAGCUGGGUCAGCCCACUUUUGAUCUCUAACAUGUCUCUCAAAGGCAGCCCUGGACUGACAGCACGGAUGACAGCUUCAACUACUUCAGUCUGGGUGUGCCCUUUUUCUAUUCCCAGCUCAAUCUGGCGGACUAAACUAAGAUAUGACAAUUUAUCCCUCUGACCACUCUCCCCAAUUUGCCCACAAAUUUUAAACUCUCUUUGCAGUGUUACCUCAGGCAAUGGGCAAGUUUGUUCUAGCCGGCUCUUGAAUGGGGAAUCUGUAAUCUUUAGAAAAGACGUGUGGUGAGAAGCAUUUUUCCAGCCCUUCCUUUGGAGCUGGCUCUUCUGAUGGGUACUCUUCGUCUUGGCUACCACACCUUUUACUUUGUCUUUCAAUGAAUGUUAAUAGAUCAGCACAGUACUGUUUAACUUCAUCACUCUCUUGUUUCUACUCAAGCUCAUCUAAAGCAAAUUUGGCCAUCUUGAUGAGUGACCUCCGUGUCCUGCUGCGGGACUCUCCACUGUCCAGGCCAUCACAUUUCAGGUACCUGCAGACAUCCACGAGAGACUCUUCCCCAAGCUGCCACAGAGCUGCACUCACUUGAUCACACAGGAUCUGACCGGCGUCCAUCUUACUGAAGGCUCAACUCAUUGAAAAGGAGGGCGGUUAAUGGGGCUGGUCACUCUGUCACCUCCUCCUGGGCUGGCUCGCCAAAAUAUGUUACACUUUUCAGAAGGAUGCAAUGUCCGUUCUUGGGGCAACACAUUUAUUUCUGUUAAAACACAUGAAAUAGGCAGGUUUAACAAGGAGCACUUUCCGCUUCGUGUGUGCAACACUCAUCAUGUACUGAAUACUAUUUCUAUUGUCAGCUACUGAUGCAUAGUAUGAUGCUCGGAUGCCCCCUGCUGGUGAAGCUAACAAGAACCAUUUUAAACAGAACAGUGCACUCCAGUAAUGCAAAUUAAUUUCAAACUAAUUCACUUUGUUCCCUGACAACAGUUAUUAAUGAGAUAAAAAUUUGAAGGGGGCAUUUUUUUUAUCUGCCUUUUUUAAAUACUCAGCGCUACAAUAACACUGUACAACAUACGAAAGAACAAUUAUUACAAACAGUAAUAAUACACAAGAUGUACUGGGGAAAUGCAUGUUCAUUCAUUUAGAUGAAGUUGUCAAUGAAUUAGUGGCAAAGAUUCUAUUUUUAUAGACCAAAUGCUUCUGGUGACCUGUGUUUUCCUGUCUUUGAAGUAUAGGUGAAGAGCAAAUGGUGAUAGCGCUCAGUGGGGAAGCCAGACAUUACGGGGCCUGGCAAGGGUGAAGGGUUGGAAGAGUUACUGUUUUGUACUGUUUUGAUGCUACAUUAUCCCACUGGAUAAUGGAUGCUAUAGUCUUGGCUUACCAGGCUCAAGACCUGUCAUGCCCCCUAGGGGUGAAAGCACUUCCAUUCUUCCAUUAGAAUCAUCAUUUUGGUUGAGAUUGAAAAUUUAAUGGUAAAUAAUAUUGAAUCAACAUUGACAUUUCAAUGCUUUUCAGUGUUGAAAAAUAUGAACAUUGAAUCAAUGUUGAUUUUUGGUCAGCUUCAUUUCCCCAUGGGUGGAACUUAGACUAAGCUAUGUCAAUCCAUCUGUCCCCUCAUUCAACACUUUAUUCACAUUAGCACUCAUGCUCCUCAUGACCCAUCCCUCUAGUCCCACAAAUAAAUAAAUAAAUAAAACUCCGGCCAACUGAAGUGUGUAGAUAAACUCCAUGUAACCAUUUGGAAGUCAGUGACAUGAACCAGCUGGAGAUUAUUAUUAUAAUAACAUUGCACUCUUUCAACUUAAACAGUAAAUUCACAACUACUCAAAACAUCUCACCUGCACUUUAAGGAUCCACGUCAGACGUUUUUCUGACAUCACGACGCAUGAGCGUCUUGAACUUUCAUAGAUAUAUACACUGGAUGUCGCCUUGGGGUUCUAAGCAUGAGUCAAAACCGCCGCCAUCUUGGAACAGGGGUCUUGUCAUAGGAAGUAGCUAGGUAACGCUGCUAUAUCCACCUGUACUUUGAAUUCAUGGACGAUGCCGGACUUUUGUGCUGCGUAUGGAUGUUCAAACGAAAGAAAUCUAAAAACCAGACAGCAAGGGAUUACAUUUCACAAGUGAGAAUGUGUUUUAUGAUAUUGAAUGUUAUAUUAUUUCUUAUUUAUUGUUAUAAUUAUAUUUCUGGUUACGUUGGUUUAUUUCAGUCCUUGGUUAACGACCGCAGCUAAUCCAUACUAGUUACCCAUUAGUUUUUGACAGUUAGGAAAAUCUUUGCGUGGCAGGGGCAGCUGCCACUGAGACCUGCCACUCGACCUGUCACUGCUAUAUCCGCCUGCCCCGCGUUCUGUCACCGCUGCCACUCGACCUGUCACAGAUAUUUGCGCCUGUCACUCGACCUGCCACGGCUAUACCCGCCUGCCCUGCGACCUGUAUGCAGACACGCCAUCUAUGCUUAAAAUGCAUUGUGCGUCUACAUGAGGUUGCGUGGUAGGUGUUAAGUGUCGGUAGAAAUAUUUUUAAAAUUCAUAAAAAAUAAAUAAAAUGAAACUGUUUACUGCAAACUUCACCUGAUUCUUAUUAUACAUGUUCCCAAGUACCACUCUGGUGAUUUUCAUGUUGUUUUUCUGUUUUAUUCUUUAAUAAUUAAAUGUAAGUAGCGAUAGUUCAUUCGAAGUUUACACGGAAGAAUGUGACUAAUAAACUUAGGCCUACUAGCACUAUGCAUUAUAUUUUUAAAAAGUAGAUUAUCUUAAUAUCAAAACCUUAAAUUUUCUCUGGACUCAAUGAUAAAUACAUGUCUGACCGUUGGAACGAACCAAAAAAAAAAAAAAAAAACCCUAGAAAAUCGCAUUCAUGAAGAUUUAUGGUGAUUUUAUUUCCGUUAGACCUUUGCUUACAUUGACGCUGAUGAAUUAAAGAGGAAGGGCUCCCCUUCCAAGAUGGCGGCUCAUUCGUUCCAAUGAACUGCCGUAGCCAAGGCGACAUCUAGUGUAUAUAUCUAUUUUGAACUUUCUGCUCAAAUUGAUCGAUUUUCUCGGACUGAAAGGUAGGUUAAACGUGGAAAUUUGUCUUACUUUAUGUAUUGGAUAAUGCAGCGUUCAAAUGUGUUUUACAGUUAAUUAACGUUGUUUGUGAACAUGAAUACUAACAGAAUCGCAAUUAAUUGAAUUUAAAAUGAAUUCCUCCUUUUACCGUGUAUGCAGCUCAAGAUAUUUGAAAUGCUGUGGGCGGGAAGUGAGCGUGGUGCGGGAGAAAACGCCCGAGGCACAGUGAGGAUUCCUGCAUUAUAAUAUUGAGUUAAGUUUUUUAAUUAAUAUUUGUCUGUUCUUUUAUUUGUCUUUGACAUGUUAGCUCUGAUUUAAUGUAUAUGUUUGCCCAAAAUGAUGAUCCAAAUCUGUAAGUAAAGACAUUGUGAGUUAACGUUACAUUUGCCUAACUUGGUGUUUUGCUUCGUCCAGGGAAAAAUGUUAGGAUUUUUUUUAGUAUAAAUCAUGAUCAUGAUUUUUUUUUUUAAGUAGUAGAAAUAGUAGGUUAUAAUAGUAGUAUUUGCUCAACUAAUUAAUUGACCUAGAAAACAACUUUCGACCACUAAUAAAUGCUGUAAAAAUGUUUCUCCCCUUAUGGACCUAAAGCUUUUCAAUUUUGUUUGAUGAACGAGGACACUUUGCAAUACAUGUGAUGGUUUGCAUUACUGUGUAUGAAUCAUAAAGGUAUCAGUUAAAUAUCUUCUUUACAUUUCUACUGAAGGGAAAAAAAGACACAUCUUGGAUGGCCUGAAGACUGAAAAUAUUCAUCUGAGAAGAGUGUGUCCUGUAGGCCCUUUUUUCCUGAGAGAAAGUCCUGAAGACCUCAUCAACGAGUACCUUGGAUAAUCAGACAGAUGAUUGUGAGGGUGACCCUGAGCAGCUCUUCGUGGUGGUGUUCAUUAUUCUGAAGGAGGGGGAGAACUUCACAAACCACCUGACAUUGACAUUGUGAUCGAGGGAGUUAAAGUUUUGAAUCACAAAUCAGUUUUGAAUCGCAUCAGCUUGUGCCCUGCUUCUGGGUAUAUACAUCAACCUAUAAUGGUCUAUAUUAAAUAGUUAUAAAUUUAUUGUAAAUAAAAUAUUUACCACAUUUUGAAAAAAUUAUACACUGGUAUUUACUUAUACACAGACUGUAAAAUUUAGUAUAGUAUAGACAAAUUUAAAACAUUGGUAAAUGGAAAGUUUUUCUGUUAAACACAUUUUGUACUUAGCAAAAUAAUUAGCUGAACUCUGCAGGCAGGUAGAUCCCCAGGAACAGGAUUGGGCACCUCUGCAAUACUUCAUUAAAUAAAAAUAACUCAAAAAAGAAAAACAAACAACAACAACAACAAAAACUAAAAUAAAUAAAAUAAACCUUUAGCUGUACAAUUGAAGAUUUUUUUGAAGAUUCAUUUUCAAGAGUCUUUUAUUUUUAAAACCCUGUGACUGUGUGAACAAGUGCUUCUGAACAUGCCAAAACUGAAGAUCAUCUUCUAUCACAACUGCAGUGCUUGAAAGACUUGUGCUUUCUUUGACCACGAUGACAAAAUCAGUGAUGUUUGGCUCUCCCAACGCCUCCUGAAAUAGCAUAGAGGGUCCAACUGUAAGUUUCACUCAGUAGACUAAAAUUAAACAGUUACAUUCACUGAUACUAGCAAUUCUGUUAAUGCAUUAAAUACUUACAUGUCAAGUCUUGAAGAAUUAUGGGUCCUCCUCACACAGGUACACUGAGGAGCACAGAGGGCUAAAGUGCAUUUCAUGUUGACAUCAUGCACACCCUUCAAAGUCAAGCAAAAAUGAACAUGUUAAACAAGCAAGCCAAUUUGAGGUACUUAGUGUUGACAAAUUUCAAUUCACCUGAAGAUCAUAAACAUUUAAAAUAUCACGCAGAGUCUCUGAAAUCUUGUUGAUGAGUGCCGUUUUUUAGUGAUAUCGUGUAACUUUGUACAUACCUAGAAAACCAAAAACACACAAGUGUAUAACCAACAAUGGAUGUUGAAAAGAGAAAGUCAGGUCUGUGUCCAGUUAUCUGAGGAGACAUCAUGCAACUUGCAUUUCAACUCAGUUGAAGUUACCUUAAGUGUUGAAGCUCACUCUUCAGUAAGCAUCCAUAUCAGCCUGCAAGUAAAGAAAGAUUGUAAAGGUUUACUAAUCGUCGAUAAAGCUAGUUUAUUCACAUGAAUGUAGGAAUAAAAUCACAUUUCUCAGAUCAGUGCACUUAACAAAAAGCAGCAACACACUUAUAAAACGUAGGACUGCGAUGACAGAAAAAAAAAAAAAAAAGUAGCUAACGUUAACAUUGUUGCCCUACAUUUUCUUCAUUAAGAUAUCCUUACAAAAGCAAAUAAGAAAAAAAAACAAAAAAAACAAAUGUUUUGCUUUAUUUACAUAAGUUGGCUCCAGACGCUUGUGAAUAUCUGCCACGCUGAAAGGAUUCUUCAGAUGUCAGUUAUGGCAAUGAUGUCAUGUGGAUGACAGUGUAAUGAUGGGUCGACAGAAUGGGGAUCCAUUUGCAGCUUUUAUUAUCAGAUGUAUACAAACAGGUGGGACUUUGGGCAAGAGCAUAAACAGGGACAGGCAAUGGUCGAGACAGGCGGCGAGCAAACAGGGUCGGAGAACAGGCAAGGGUCGAGACAGGCGACUUUACAAUCAGAGUCCAGAUAACAGGCAGAAUUCAGGGCAGGUGGCAAGGUUCAACAGAGAUAAACAGUCCAGUCGGUAAAAAUAGGCAGCAAACAGGGAAAAACGCUCAGAAAUGAUCACCUCGGCAAAUCAAGACUUCGCGAGGUAUGUAUGCAUGUGAGAGUGUUAUAUAGUGUGAGAGUGAUUCAGUUCAGGUGUGUGUGUAAUCAGUCCCAGGAAUGAGGGCCCAUGGGAAACGUAGUCCGAAUCAAUGAAGUUCAAUAUUCCGGUGAUGGUUCCCUCCGGCGGUCCGGAGGACGAGCCGAAGGAGCCCCAUUCAUGACAGACAGCAGUUUACAUCGCUCAGUAAACUUAGAAAUAGUCCUUAAAGUAGCAGCGUUUACUCAGGUUUACAUUCCACCUGUAAAGAGCAAAUAAUAUACAAGUAUUUAUUAAUAAAGGUAACAUGGUCUAACUGAAUGUGCCAAACUUUACUUGAACUUACCAGCUUUCUCAUUGGCUCCAACAGCUCCUUGCUAGUUCAGUCAGAGAAGUAUAAUAAAGAUGAUGUAUGGUCUUAUUUCUUCAGGGCUUGCACUGCUCUGUGUCUGGGGAUUAAAAUCUGCCAUUUCUUCAGUGAUGAUAACACUUAUCUUGAUUAUUACAAAACAGAAAUAUUAAAAGCAAUGUUAUGAGAAAUAAUCACUUAUUCCUGUGUGUCUUAACAUGCUGAGUGAAGCAGCAACUAGUAGCAACAAAAGCUGUGAUGCUGUGUUUGUGUUGUCCAUGAUUUAGCAGUCAUGAGCAUCUGUAACUGUAAAAUCUGCUCACAUUUAUCAACUGAAGAUGAUCUCAGACAUACUAAUGCAUAGGAUUGCAGUACAUGAUCAUCAUAACAAAAAAUCAGUAAAACUAGCUUUUGUAUUUAGUUAAUUGAGGUUAUUUGAAAACAAUGAACUUCUACGACAGUAUAAACAAAUCCUCUUCGCUCACCUUCUUGAAGAAAACAUAGAAUAAAACAACUUUUGCUUAUAACAACUGCAUUUAUAAAAACAUAUGAGCGUGGAAACUAAAAACAAACAAACAAACCUGCUCUUUCUCCUCUUGAAUGCAGGACCGUAAUCAUCCUCUUCCUCAGCUUUGUUUGCAGAUCGGAGUGUUGCUCGUCAAAGUUUAGUGCAGCAUAAACAAUCGAGAUACACAUAACAAUGCUUAGAUCAAAGGUGAAAAAGAUUUUGCCGUUUAUUAGCUGUAGGUGGCAUACUGAAAGUUUUCAGGCAAGCCAAGAAAGCCUCGUUCGCGGCAGUCAUGUGAAGUUAACUUUUAGCAAGUUCCUUUAUAAGCGUCUACAAAAUAAAAAUACUACAAAUGUAAAUAUGCGUCGAUGCUUACUAGAACAAAUGACCCCAUACAUUAAUAUCUCUUGGUAAAUAAUUCAUUGUUUUGCUCGCAUCCGCUCCAAACCGCACAAACAUGGCGGAUAUCACCCACUACCACAGGUACGAGACCCCUCCCACUGCCGCGCGUGUGAAGAUGAAUGAAUCAUCUGAUAGUGCAGUGAAGUGCGUUUAAAAUACAUGAAAGUGUAUAAAAUAACGAAUUGCUACAUUACUUAUAAAUAGAUUUGAUACUAUACAUAUUAGAGUAUGUUCUGUCUUUUAAGGCACUUUUAUUAUAUUAGGCUUUACGCAGAUAUGUUUUUGACAAAUUCGCUACAUUAAACAUGUAACAUUUGUUAAUUCAUAUCAGAUACUACCAGGAAACUGUCAUGUCAUGUCAUGUCAUGUCAUGUCAUGUCAUGUCUUGUUUUGGUAUUGUUACAUGUUCACAGUUUAUGGUUUGUUUUCAUUGUUAUGCUUUGUUUGUUUUGCCAUGUGUUUUGUAUCAUGUGAUUCCAUUGCCCUCAUGUGUUCAUGUCUUGUGAUUCCCCUGUCUCAUGUGUCAUGUUCUGAUUGGUUGUCAUUGUCAUGUGAUUUCAGUUCUGUCUUGCCAUUGGUCCUCUGUCUUCAUUGUUCACAGGUGUUCCUUGUUUUGUCAUUAGUCUCCCUGUAUAAAUAGCCCUUAUGUUCCACUGUACUCUGGUCUAGCUUUGUUUAUUGUAACCUGCUGUUUGGUGUGUGUUAGUGUUUAUAGUCAAGUCUGGUCAAGUCAAGUCACGUCUUGGUUUAUGUUCCUGUUCCUGUUCCUGUUCCUGUUCAAGUUUGUAUGUUGGAUUAUUGUUAUUAAAAUACUGCACAUGGGUUCUACACUACGCUCGCCUCCAGUGGACUCCUCUGUUAAAGAAACAAAGUCAAUUUUAAGACCAUUUUAUGUUAAUUAUUGCUUAUGUAACCAUCUGUGAGUGAACACAAGCUGAGUCAUUGCCAGAAGUGGCACAGAUCUUACGAUGAGCAGGAAUCGGCCCAGUGCUUUACAUCCGUAACAAAUAUACGUGUCCCAGAGCGAGCUGUGGGCCACAAUCGGCCUGAUUAACACAUGCCGAUGCCGAGUCUGAGCCGCAGGCGCCGUGGGGCAGCCGAGCUCGGGACGAUUACUACAUGCUAUCUGGGCACUGACACGACAGCCAGUGGCACAGAUUCCCAACAAAAACUAUCCCAUACCGGCAUGAUGAAUACGAUCUUCAACUAGAUGGAACUGGAUUAAAUAUUUUGACUGUUGCAAUCCCAAUCAGACUUAUGACCUGUAAUGCUGCCUAAAUCAUAAUUGUGCACUGUUUGCUGUUGGCCAGAGGAGAACUGGCCCCCUGACUGAGCCUGGUUUCUCCCAAGGUUUUUUUCUCCAUUUUUAUCACCUGUUUGUCAACUGAUGUCACCUGUUGGAGUUGGGGUUCCUUACCCCACUUUUUCUUGUGUUCUUUGUCGAGUCUUGUACUACAUGGGUGUACGUUUGGUGCUACUUAUUCUGUUCUCAGUUCCCUGGUCUCUAUUGUGAUUAAUAAAUAUGAGGGUAUAAACUAAUAAAUUCUCAAUAAUGACAAAAGUUUUAGAAUAAAGCAACAAGCCCUGAGAAAUGGGAAGGGCUUAAUGCUUAUAUAAAAUGGCUCCUACAUACACCUGAAAAUGUUUAAUAAAAUAAGCUCACAUCAAACAAAAAUUUUUUAAUUUAUUAAUAACAAAAGAUAAUUCCUCCGACAGGCAAUGCAGUUCUUCAUUAACAUUUUGUUAACAGAAUUGUUACCAAGCAACACACGGAUACAAUACUGAUGUGAUUAAGGUCGCAGGUGUGCGUUAAGAGCAGUGUUUUUUUUAAAUUUAACAAAAUAAGUUCAGGAGUGGACCAGGCCAAAAUAACAAACUAAUUUUAAUAUCCUCGAAAUUCCCUAAAAAAAAAAAAAAAAACACAUUAAAAGAAAAAUACAAAGCAACUUCCCUAACUCCCUAAACCCAAAACAUAGAAUAAACAAUAUAUGCAAAAGAAAUGGCGUUGCACUCCUUACUUCCCUUAAAUUGAGUAUUUACAAAUAAUAUUUACACAAUAACUGAAGACAAAAGCAAUAUUGAGAAUUGUAAAUCAAACUGAACAAAAGCAAGAUUUUCAAAGCACACACAAUCAAAGAUGAGACAAAAACAGAGCAAAACAAAUGGCAAAAAGUCGGCCUCGAUAGUGUGUUUGGGGUGGUCCUUAUCAGCAACAGGAAUCGACCAAUCGGGCCCAGACCAAUCAGGAUCUCUGCUGGCUUGAGUGCAGGCCACACCUUCUCCUGCACAGACACACUCAAAAACAACAUUCAAAUACUUCUAAAAAAAAAAACUAAAAAAAAACAUCAGAUGUAACAGUGUGUGUAGCAUAUAAUUUCACAAAGAUAAAGUCAGCUUUAAAUGUUGAAAUUAAAUUUAAUUCAAAUCAAAAACAACUGCUCAUGCAACGUGUGUAGCAUCUGUGGGAUUACAAAUUUGUUCUAUGUUAUAUCUAGGUUCCAAUGUAAUAGUAUAUGAACUGAAAACUUUAUGUAUAUUGUGUCAAGGCAGGCAGACCAGGUGUCUGAGACACUAACCUUUGUCUCAUGCAUUUCCUGACCAUGUGGCAUGACCAGCUCAAGAUACAGCUGUGCUUUUGUCUCUAUGAUAAUGUAAAGGUAUAGGUGAUACUGCCAGACUGAUUGGAUUAGCCCCUAUGCAUUUGAAUAA